Molecule: non-coding RNA, 1321 nt
Organism: Paramuricea clavata
Lineage: Eukaryota; Metazoa; Cnidaria; Anthozoa; Malacalcyonacea; Plexauridae
Source: the annotation of a GenBank genome assembly
GUUUCGAUGUUUCUGUGUUGGUAUGAUGUACUCAGGUGAAUGAUGCUUGUGAUGUUACUCUGAGUGCCGAUAUCCGGUUCAGAAAUAUCGCAUACUCGAACCGUCCUGACCGCGUAGCUCAGUUGGCAGAGCAUUGGGCUAGUAUUCCAAAGGUCGUAGGUUCGAUUCCCACCGUGGCCAGGCAUAUUUUUCAAGCUCGCCCGGUGUGGAUAUGCACUCAGAGUAACAACACAAACAUCAAAUGUAGUUUCCUUGUCGUAAUUUUGACGGUGUUAUUUUUCUAGGCAAGGCAUUGAUGAAGGAGACAUCAGCUUAGCCGAGUCAUUACCAUUUUUUACGACACCAAUUUCGCUCUUACCGUUUCAUGUGGUGUUUAAGAUGGGGCUAGACCGAGGAUGUUUUUAUCAGUUUGUUUGUUUUCUGCGACUGUUCACGCUCUUUCAAGAUGGGAGGAUACAAAUGAACUGGGACGAGAGAAACACGGCACACACAGGUCAGUGUUCAUAUAGCCUGCGUGGCAGGCGGUUUUUUUACGGGCUGCGAAAAUUAUGGAGGCAAUGGAAACCUAGUUUUCACAGCCCGUACAAAAAUCCGCCUGCCACACAGGACAGUGUUCAUAUUCAACGAUGAAUUAUAGCUUGCGCCAUUCAUGAUACACGUGAACGACAGCUAAGGCUAAAGGCUCGGUUUUUGGUCAGGGGGGGACAUUCAAACCACAAUAGAAAACUCUACUUGUAUUUUCCACUUCGACCGUAUCGUAGCGUAGCGUAUUCCUUUGUUUCUUGAGCACUAGAGUAGAACUAAUGACUUCGACACAAAAGAAAAUGCUACGAUACGAUACGGAAGUGGAAAACAGUCUUGGCGUAAAACUCACUACAACUAUUUCAAGACUAGAUCAAUGGACCUAUUCCCUAAUGAACAAAAGUUUGAUCUAGACAAGUCUAGACAAAAAUUUCAUCACAGCUUGAAAGAGCAUCACAAAAUUAGUAAUAUUCCGAAGUUUCGUUGCGAAAUGUUGUAAAAUGCGGAAAAUAUAACCCUACGAAGUUUGCCGUUUUUCAGUCAUUUUGUAUUAUAUACGCACAGGAAAUUGAUACCUUUCUUCAGAAAGCGGUAUCAAUUUCCCGCGCGUAAUACAAAAUGACUGAAAAACGGCUAACUUCGCAGGGCUAUAUUACUGAUCCGCAUUUUACAACAUUUCGCAACAAAACUUCGGAAUAUUACUAAUUUUGUGAUGCUCUUUCAAGCUGUGAUGAAAUGUUUGUCUAGACUACUUGUCUAGAUCAAAAUUUUGUUCAUUAGGGAAUAGGUCCAUUCUCUU